GGCUUUGGAUCGUGACUGUUUGCUGGCCUUGUAAUGAGACCCAGCUCGGUCGAAAUACAAGAGUGGCUGAUUCCCAAUCCGGCCUGACUCGGCGUGAUAAUCACACUUCGCCGAUUACGGAUGGGUGAUAAAGGCUGCUUCCAAGAUAUAUUACUUUUGAACUAGACCUCAAAUCAGGUAGGACUACCCGCUGAACUUAA
Molecule: unclassified non-coding RNA, 200 nt
Filed under: soil metagenome
Description: partial contains internal transcribed spacer 2 and large subunit ribosomal RNA
Source: RNAcentral